GACUAGACAAAUUUUUAUCCCAUGUUUGUUUUGACUUGCUACUAAUUUUAAGUGGGACUGUUAAUACUGGCCCCACCAAAAACACCUCCUUAGGUGUUCUUAGUGAGACCCGAGUGGAGAGGGGGGACAAGCUAGUCCCAACCCAAGCGCUUGCAACAACCAAGCCCUUGCCGCAACGAUCGACCUCCCAAGCGCCUUCCACAACCACCGACCACCCAAGCACCUGCAACUGAUUCAAACCCCCACCGUCACAGCCACACGCAGUGACCCCCAAUACAACAUCACAGUCAGUUCCAGUCAAUUUCGGCGAGCACCGAUUAGAGAUAAUGACUUCGCAGCUUGAACUAUGGGCUGUGGACACAGCAACUGUGCAAUGAUGGUGACUGUGAGACGAUGAUGACUGUGCAAGCAGAGGUAGAAGUAGAAGACAGAGUAUAUUGAGAAGCAGCAAAGAGAAAAUUUUUGGGAAAAAAAAAAAGGAACAGAGAAAAAUUUUGGAAAAAAAAAAGCAAAGAGAAAAAAUUUUGAAAAAAAAAAACAAAGAGAAACAUAUAUUGAGAAGAAGAGGCCAAGGAGAAGAAGAAGAGAAGAAGAAGAGGAUGGAGAAGAAGAAGCAAUUCGCAGGAGGAAGAAGAAAAGAAAAUGCAGAGAGAGAAGAAAAGUCAAAAAAAUAAUAUUAAAUUCACUUUAAUAUGUUUUUAUAAAAAAUAAAAAAAAAAUCUAGUCCUAGUCCAAACAUACACCAAACAAAGGACAAUUGUUAUCCAGUUUAGGCCAGGCCAAGCCAAUCCAAGACAGUCUCUAAUUAUAGUCCAUACCAAGACAUUCCUUCGUACCAAACUAGCCCUGAGGGUUCGAAUCUGAGACUAAUCUGCAAAUCAAUGUCAUUUUCCACUCGGCUAGGUUUCAAAAGAAUUGCUUUUGUGAUAGGACCCGCCCCGAAUCCCUCAGAACCCGAGACGAAUCCUGUGGAAUUCCCGACAUCACCCCGAUGUCGGGCCCACUUCUAAAACUAUAUCCUUUUUUCCCAAAAAGAAUAAGGGCACGAGACUUUCUACUGAAAUUUCGGCAGAGUCUCCCCUGUAAAUUGAACAUUUCCCAAAUUUCAACCUGCACAAAAUUCACAAUUUAAUAUCCCAACAGGCAGCACACACAAUAUAACUUCAUGCAAUUCACAUAAAUGGCCUUCGGCCUUUCGAUAAUUCGAAGCAAACCACCAAGCACGCUAUCAAGUCAAUUAAUACCUUAAACAAGGCAAACAAUAAAUUCAAUCCCACUUAAGAAUUUCAAAG
RNAcentral lists this long non-coding RNA (1292 nucleotides) under Prunus persica (peach). RNAcentral's name for it is "long non-coding RNA (PPER_LNC006060)". The record is from RNAcentral. Lineage: Eukaryota; Viridiplantae; Streptophyta; Magnoliopsida; Rosales; Rosaceae.